RNAcentral lists this ribosomal RNA (396 nucleotides) under uncultured bacterium. Its description in RNAcentral is "bacterial SSU rRNA". It matches the Rfam family "Bacterial small subunit ribosomal RNA", at positions 123 to 518 of the family's 1533-position model. The record is from RNAcentral.
AACCAACCCAGUAACAGGGGGAUAACCCGGAGAAAUCCGGACUAAUACCGCAUAAGACCACGAUAUCGCAGUGAUAUAGAGGUCAAAUAUUUAUAGGUUAUGGACGGGCAUGCGUCUGAUUAGCUGGUUGGCGGGUAACGCCACCAAGGCAUCGAUCAGUAGGGGUCUGAGAGGAAGGUCCCCCACAUUGGAACUGAGACACGGUCCAAACUCCUACGGGAGGCAGCAGUGAGGAAUAUUGGUCAAUGGGCGAAAGCCUGAACCAGCCAUGUCGCGUGAAAGGAUGAAGGUCCUAUGGAUUGUAAACUUCUUUUGCAGGAGGGUAAAGUGAGCUACGUGUAGUUCAUUGCAAGUACCCUGCGAAUAAGCAUCGGCUAACUCCGUGCCAGCCGCCGC